GCACUGGUGGUUUAGUGGUAAAAUUGGACAUUGCCAAGUUGAUUACUCGACGUUGUCUAGCCCCGGGUUCGAUUCCCGGCCAGUGCA
This 87-nucleotide transfer RNA is filed under the name Rhodotorula toruloides. RNAcentral describes it as "Rhodosporidium toruloides tRNA". It matches the Rfam family "tRNA". Rfam says of the family: Transfer RNA (tRNA) molecules are approximately 80 nucleotides in length. Lineage: Eukaryota; Fungi; Basidiomycota; Microbotryomycetes; Sporidiobolales; Sporidiobolaceae. RNAcentral also lists the same sequence under 1 other name. The record is from Rfam by way of RNAcentral.